Transfer RNA from Stylonychia lemnae, 73 nucleotides. It matches the Rfam family "tRNA". Rfam says of the family: Transfer RNA (tRNA) molecules are approximately 80 nucleotides in length. Their secondary structure includes four short double-helical elements and three loops (D, anti-codon, and T loops). NCBI's taxonomy places the organism in Eukaryota, Ciliophora, Spirotrichea, Sporadotrichida, Oxytrichidae. The record is from Rfam.
UCCCCAUUGGUCUAGGUGGCUAGGAUAUUCGGCUUUCACCCGGAAGGCCCGGGUUCGAGUCCCGGAUGGGGAG